RNAcentral lists this ribosomal RNA (59 nucleotides) under Tylospora asterophora. RNAcentral describes it as "partial 18S ribosomal RNA". It matches the Rfam family "Eukaryotic small subunit ribosomal RNA", at positions 1773 to 1831 of the family's 1831-position model. The record is from RNAcentral. Lineage: Eukaryota; Fungi; Basidiomycota; Agaricomycetes; Atheliales; Atheliaceae.
UUAGAGGAAGUAAAANUNGUAACAAGGUUUCCGUAGGUGAACCUGCGGAAGGAUCAUUA